Molecule: long non-coding RNA, 1144 nt
Filed under: Microcebus murinus (gray mouse lemur)
Lineage: Eukaryota; Metazoa; Chordata; Mammalia; Primates; Cheirogaleidae
Description: lncRNA (ENSMICG00000048730.1)
Source: RNAcentral
CACAGUGACAGUUGGGCGUCCACACCGCCUUCGCUGCGCACAGGACACAGAGUGACUGACCCUACGGGGCCCGAGCUGUCUUGCUGGUGUCCCCGGCAUUCGUCGGGUGAGGGACCUGCCUUGGGGCUCCACACACUGGGCUUCCCGGAGAAUCAGGCUCCCCGUCAGGCGGGGACUCACUGGCCUCCCUGACCCGAGGCGGCCGAGCCCCUUGGUGGCGCAGAGCCCGGUUCCGCGUCCGUCGUGCGGCCACACCGCGGACCGUCGGUGGCUCACAGCAGCCGUCUGUGCUGCUCAGCCCGGCACCGCGCGGGGCGCCCGGCCAGCACGGAGGGCAGCGGGUCAUCCGCCCCGUGAGGGACCAGGACACACCGGGCUACCUGAGUGUCCACCUCAGACCUGGACGACAAGACCAGAGGGCAAGGAGGCUGGGGAGCUGUGGCCUCACAGAGCUCACCUGCAAAAGCCUUGCCUCCUGUCUCAGGCGCAGUGAGAGGCCCACCCACCUGAGCUUGGCAGAAAACGCCUUGAAAGACGAAGGGGCCAGGCAUAUUCGGAACACCUUAGAACACUUGACGUGUCCUCUGCGGAGGCUGGUGUAAGUCCCAAGGUAUUUUCUUCUUGGAACUCACUGAAGCAGAGCAGGGGGAUUGAGAGAACCUGUCAUGCAUUCAUUUAUUAAGUGCCUGCUGCACGCUGGGCACUGUGCUGAUGUGGGGGUAGGGGCGGAGCAUAAUAAAGAGGAGGGCUGCUAUCACUUCCAUCCAGAGGCAGAUUAUCCACUGUCAGAGUCCUCCGCUGUGUGCCAGUGCCCCAGAGUGAGCUCACAGAGGGGCUGCAGGGCGAUUUCAAUUUAGGGAAUACUGACAUCUGUUCAUCACUGCAAGAACUUCUAGCUCGAGGUCAUUCGUUACAGCGUGAGAUUGUGGGCUAAUUCCUUUUAUAUGACAUCAUGUGUUUGCAAAGCUAGGUUUGCAGCCAUUGCUGUCAUGGGAGCAAGUGCAUCACGAUAUUUAAUGAGGAGCAAAGAUGAUGUAAAGAAAAGAAAAGUACUGAGAUGCUAAGAAGGGUGUGAACCGAGAAAGUCUGGAGACCUCUGAUGGAAUGUGCUCCCUGCCUCCUGGACAUCCGAGUGAGCGCCACG